RNAcentral lists this ribosomal RNA (542 nucleotides) under Heliosciurus ruwenzorii (Ruwenzori sun squirrel). RNAcentral's name for it is "partial 16S ribosomal RNA". It matches the Rfam family "Bacterial large subunit ribosomal RNA", at positions 1830 to 2595 of the family's 2925-position model. The record is from RNAcentral. Lineage: Eukaryota; Metazoa; Chordata; Mammalia; Rodentia; Sciuridae.
CUAGCAUUAUUAGUAUUAGAGGCCAUGCCUGCCCAGUGACACCUGUUUAAACGGCCGCGGUAUCCUGACCGUGCAAAGGUAGCAUAAUCACUUGUUCCUUAAAUAGGGACUUGUAUGAACGGCUCGACGAGGGUUGCACUGUCUCUUACUUUCAAUCAGUGAAAUUGACCUCCCCGUGAAGAGGCGGGGCUAUACAAAUAAGACGAGAAGACCCUAUGGAGCUUAAAAUAAUUAGUCCACACAUUUACUACAACCACCCUUCGGGCCCAAACAACAUGUCCCUGGACUAAUAUUUUCGGUUGGGGUGACCUCGGAGCAUAAACCAACCUCCGAAUGAUUUUAAUCUAGACCCACCCGUCUAAAUUUUAACUCAUAUAUUGACCCAAUACAUUUGAUCAACGGAAUAAGUUACCCUAGGGAUAACAGCGCAAUCCUACUUAAGAGUUCAUAUCGACAGUUAGGGUUUACGACCUCGAUGUUGGAUCAGGACACCCAAAUGGUGCAGCAGCUAUUAAUGGUUCGUUUGUUCAACGAUUAAAGUC